CUGGGACAGAUUAGGUGAACGUUUGUCGGUAACAAUCACUGCUCACUAUGUACUUGUUAAAGACACUGAAUCUGUGGGGUCACCAAAGGUUCUCAACACCUAAAUAAAGCAAUUCGAAAAACGAAUCCGGAAUAAUACGAUGUGUUGAUUUAUAUCAAUAAUAUAAAUCAAAACAUAAAGGUUAUUCCUGAAUAAUUUUCGAAUUAUUUUAUUAUUAAAGGCGUUAAGAACC
RNAcentral lists this long non-coding RNA (232 nucleotides) under Mytilus galloprovincialis (Mediterranean mussel). The record is from RNAcentral. Lineage: Eukaryota; Metazoa; Mollusca; Bivalvia; Mytilida; Mytilidae.